This 1071-nucleotide ribosomal RNA is filed under the name Lactobacillus delbrueckii. RNAcentral's name for it is "bacterial SSU rRNA". It matches the Rfam family "Bacterial small subunit ribosomal RNA", at positions 409 to 1474 of the family's 1533-position model. The record is from RNAcentral. Lineage: Bacteria; Bacillati; Bacillota; Bacilli; Lactobacillales; Lactobacillaceae.
GGAAGGGUUCCGGCUCGUAAAGCUCCUGUUGUUAAAGAAGAACACGUAUGAGAGUAACUGUCAUACGUUGACGGUAUUUAACCAGAAAGUCACGGCUAACUACGUGCCAGCAGCCGCGGUAAUACGUAGGUGGCAAGCGUUAUCCGGAUUUAUUGGGCGUAAAGAGAGUGCAGGCGGUUUUCUAAGUCUGAUGUGAAAGCCUUCGGCUUAACCGGAGAAGUGCAUCGGAAACUGGAUAACUUGAGUGCAGAAGAGGGUAGUGGAACUCCAUGUGUAGCGGUGGAAUGCGUAGAUAUAUGGAAGAACACCAGUGGCGAAGGCGGCUACCUGGUCUGCAACUGACGCUGAGACUCGAAAGCAUGGGUAGCGAACAGGAUUAGAUACCCUGGUAGUCCAUGCCGUAAACGAUGAGUGCUAGGUGUUGGAGGGUUUCCGCCCUUCAGUGCCGGAGCUAACGCAUUAAGCACUCCGCCUGGGGAGUACGACCGCAAGGUUGAAACUCAAAGGAAUUGACGGGGGCCCGCACAAGCGGUGGAGCAUGUGGUUUAAUUCGAAGCUACGCGAAGAACCUUACCAGGUCUUGACAUCUUGCGCCAACCCUAGAGAUAGGGCGUUUCCUUCGGGAACGCAAUGACAGGUGGUGCAUGGUCGUCGUCAGCUCGUGUCGUGAGAUGUUGGGUUAAGUCCCGCAACGAGCGCAACCCUUGUUACUAGUUGCCAGCAUUAAGUUGGGCACUCUAGUGAGACUGCCGGUGACAAACCGGAGGAAGGUGGGGACGACGUCAGAUCAUCAUGCCCCUUAUGACCUGGGCUACACACGUGCUACAAUGGACGGUACAACGAGUCGCGAACUCGCGAGGGCAAGCAAAUCUCUUAAAACCGUUCUCAGUUCGGACUGCAGGCUGCAACUCGCCUGCACGAAGUCGGAAUCGCUAGUAAUCGCGGAUCAGCAUGCCGCGGUGAAUACGUUCCCGGGCCUUGUACACACCGCCCGUCACACCAUGAGAGUUUGUAACACCCAAAGUCGGUGGGGUAACCUAUAGGAGCCAGCCGCCUAAGUGAACAAAGUGC